UACGGGGGGGGCAAGCGUUGUUCGGAAUUACUGGGCGUAAAGGGCGCGUAGGCGGUUUGCUAAGUUGGAUGUGAAAACUCUGGGCUUAACCCAGAGCCUGCAUCCAAAACUGGCAAACUUGAGUACUGGAGGGGAAAGCGGAAUUCCUGGUGUAGCGGUGAAAUGCGUAGAUAUCAGGAGGAACACCGGUGGCGAAGGCGGCUUUCUGGACAGUAACUGACGCUGAGGCGCGAAAGCCAGGGGAGCAAACGGG
This 253-nucleotide ribosomal RNA is filed under the name uncultured bacterium. Its description in RNAcentral is "partial 16S ribosomal RNA". It matches the Rfam family "Bacterial small subunit ribosomal RNA", at positions 524 to 776 of the family's 1533-position model. The record is from RNAcentral.